AUGCUUGCUUCGGCAGCACAUACGCUAAAAUUGAAAUGAUACAGAGAAGAUUAGCUUGGCCCCUGUGCAAGGAUGACUUGCAGAUUUUUGAAGCAUUCUAUAUUUUU
This is a small nuclear RNA of Cercocebus atys (sooty mangabey), 107 nucleotides long. The record is from Ensembl. Lineage: Eukaryota; Metazoa; Chordata; Mammalia; Primates; Cercopithecidae.